UACGUAGGGGCUAGCGUUAUCCAGAAUUACUGGGCGUAAAGGGUGCGUAGGUGGUUUCUUAAGUCAGAGGUGAAAGGCUACGGCUCAACCGUAGUAAGCCUUUGAAACUGGGAAACUUGAGUGCAGGAGAGGAGAGUGGAAUUCCUAGUGUAGCGGUGAAAUGCGUAGAUAUUAGGAGGAACACCAGUUGCGAAGGCGGCUCUCUGGACUGUAACUGGCACUGAGGCACGAAAGCGUGGGGAGCAAACAGGAUUAGAUACCCUGGUAGUCCCUGA
RNAcentral lists this ribosomal RNA (275 nucleotides) under uncultured prokaryote. RNAcentral's name for it is "partial 16S ribosomal RNA". It matches the Rfam family "Bacterial small subunit ribosomal RNA", at positions 524 to 800 of the family's 1533-position model. The record is from RNAcentral.